UCCGAUGUGGUGUAGUGGCUAACAUUGCUGUCUUUCAUCAAAUUCCUCAUUAUUGUGAAUCACAGCAGCCCGGGGUUCGAUUCCCCGCAUCGGAA
RNAcentral lists this transfer RNA (95 nucleotides) under Marasmius sp. AFHP31. RNAcentral describes it as "tRNA-Glu". It matches the Rfam family "tRNA". From Rfam's summary of the family: Transfer RNA (tRNA) molecules are approximately 80 nucleotides in length. Their secondary structure includes four short double-helical elements and three loops (D, anti-codon, and T loops). The record is from RNAcentral. Lineage: Eukaryota; Fungi; Basidiomycota; Agaricomycetes; Agaricales; Marasmiaceae.